CGAAAACGGAAUCUUUCCCAGUAACGAGAAACAUAGCUAUUUAGGAUAAAGGUGCGGAAUACAAAAAAGAAUGGAGACAUACUACAGGGCCCUGGGCAUUGCUGGUCUAAUCUUUGCUAUAAUCGAUGCUCGAACGGUCGACCAGUUCAAACGGGGUCUCAAUGGUGUAGCAGAUUCCACCUCUCUCAUCCUGCUAUCUGUCAUCCGUCUUCGGGUAUCUCUUAGCCGCCUUGGGGUAGUUUUUAAAAAUCUUGCUCUGGUUGCUGAAUUUGUGGAUUUGGUUUUGUCAUAGCAGAGCAGACUAGACAAAAAUGUACACAAUACUGAUGCUGCUCCUCUUUCUGGAAACGGCGAUUAAGGGUUAUUAACACGGCGGGAAUGUUUUGGAAAUAUGAUAUAUCAGCUAAUAUAUCUAAGCAAAACGAUCAUGAACAUUUUGUAAUAAAGUCAUGUGAUGUCGACUCUACAAUCUCAAAAUGCUAUGGUAAA
Conger conger (European conger) is the source of this 489-nucleotide long non-coding RNA. RefSeq lists it as uncharacterized. The transcript has 2 exons. Lineage: Eukaryota; Metazoa; Chordata; Actinopteri; Anguilliformes; Congridae. The record is from RefSeq and is a predicted model, not a curated record.